RNAcentral lists this ribosomal RNA (1442 nucleotides) under Clostridium botulinum A str. ATCC 3502. Its description in RNAcentral is "bacterial SSU rRNA". It matches the Rfam family "Bacterial small subunit ribosomal RNA". The record is from RNAcentral. Lineage: Bacteria; Bacillati; Bacillota; Clostridia; Eubacteriales; Clostridiaceae.
GCUGGCGGCGUGCUUAACACAUGCAAGUCGAGCGAUGAAGCUUCCUUCGGGAAGUGGAUUAGCGGCGGACGGGUGAGUAACACGUGGGUAACCUGCCUCAAAGUGGGGGAUAGCCUUCCGAAAGGAAGAUUAAUACCGCAUAAUAUAAGAGAAUCGCAUGAUUUUCUUAUCAAAGAUUUAUUGCUUUGAGAUGGACCCGCGGCGCAUUAGCUAGUUGGUAAGGUAACGGCUUACCAAGGCAACGAUGCGUAGCCGACCUGAGAGGGUGAUCGGCCACAUUGGAACUGAGACACGGUCCAGACUCCUACGGGAGGCAGCAGUGGGGAAUAUUGCGCAAUGGGGGAAACCCUGACGCAGCAACGCCGCGUGGGUGAUGAAGGUCUUCGGAUUGUAAAGCCCUGUUUUCUAGGACGAUAAUGACGGUACUAGAGGAGGAAGCCACGGCUAACUACGUGCCAGCAGCCGCGGUAAUACGUAGGUGGCGAGCGUUGUCCGGAUUUACUGGGCGUAAAGGGUGCGUAGGCGGAUGUUUAAGUGGGAUGUGAAAUCCCCGGGCUUAACCUGGGGGCUGCAUUCCAAACUGGAUAUCUAGAGUGCAGGAGAGGAAAGCGGAAUUCCUAGUGUAGCGGUGAAAUGCGUAGAGAUUAGGAAGAACACCAGUGGCGAAGGCGGCUUUCUGGACUGUAACUGACGCUGAGGCACGAAAGCGUGGGUAGCAAACAGGAUUAGAUACCCUGGUAGUCCACGCCGUAAACGAUGGAUACUAGGUGUAGGGGGUAUCAACUCCCCCUGUGCCGCAGUUAACACAAUAAGUAUCCCGCCUGGGGAGUACGGUCGCAAGAUUAAAACUCAAAGGAAUUGACGGGGGCCCGCACAAGCAGCGGAGCAUGUGGUUUAAUUCGAAGCAACGCGAAGAACCUUACCUGGACUUGACAUCCCUUGCAUAGCCUAGAGAUAGGUGAAGCCCUUCGGGGCAAGGAGACAGGUGGUGCAUGGUUGUCGUCAGCUCGUGUCGUGAGAUGUUAGGUUAAGUCCUGCAACGAGCGCAACCCUUGUUAUUAGUUGCUACCAUUAAGUUGAGCACUCUAAUGAGACUGCCUGGGUAACCAGGAGGAAGGUGGGGAUGACGUCAAAUCAUCAUGCCCCUUAUGUCCAGGGCUACACACGUGCUACAAUGGUAGGUACAAUAAGACGCAAGACCGUGAGGUGGAGCAAAACUUAUAAAACCUAUCUCAGUUCGGAUUGUAGGCUGCAACUCGCCUACAUGAAGCUGGAGUUGCUAGUAAUCGCGAAUCAGAAUGUCGCGGUGAAUACGUUCCCGGGCCUUGUACACACCGCCCGUCACACCAUGAGAGCUGGUAACACCCGAAGUCCGUGAGGUAACCGUAAGGAGCCAGCGGCCGAAGGUGGGAUUAGUGAUUGGGGUGAAGUCGUAACAAGGU